UGAGGAACAUGACCUUCGGCGGGGGAUAGCCGGCCCAACGGCCGGGUAAUACCGCGUACGACCACUUUGGGACAUCCCUAGGUGGUGAAAGCAGCAAUGCGCCGAUGGAGUGCCUCGCGGCCUAUCAGCUAGUUGGUGAAGUAACGGCUCACCAAGGCGACGACGGGUAGCUGGUCUGAGAGGAUGGCCAGCCACAGUUGGGACUGAGACACGGCCCAGACCUCCGUACGGGAGCA
Molecule: ribosomal RNA, 236 nt
Filed under: uncultured bacterium
Lineage: Bacteria
Description: partial 16S ribosomal RNA
Rfam family: Bacterial small subunit ribosomal RNA
Source: RNAcentral